This 83-nucleotide transfer RNA is filed under the name Mycolicibacterium fluoranthenivorans. RNAcentral's name for it is "tRNA-Ser". The record is from RNAcentral. Lineage: Bacteria; Bacillati; Actinomycetota; Actinomycetes; Mycobacteriales; Mycobacteriaceae.
AGCGAAGUGAGCGUAACCGUAAGACCGCGAGUGACCGGCUCAUAACCCAGAGGUCGCAGGUUCGAAUCCUGUCCCCGCUACCA